CCUCUGACACACUUUUGUGUGGAGUGUUUCUAUGUGGACUUCUUCACUUAUCUAUUCAACCACCUCACUCACUUCCCUUUUUUUGAUUACUUUUCCUUUCAUAUUCCUCUAUCAUUCAGUAACUCAUAAACUCGUUCAUUUUUUCUCAUUCACUCACUUUUUCUCUCUCUCCUUCUUCUUUGUCGCCUUCCUCCUCCUCUGGAACUUCCCUCUUUACCUUCCUGCUUCUCCCUCCUCCCUGUCUGAGCUUCUCUCGUUCUUUUCGAGUCUUGAAAUCUUCUGUCCCUAUCCACCAUCACCACUGGCUCUCGUCCUCUCCUCCACUCUCUCGUCAAUCUAUCACGGCUACUAGCUUUUACCGUCAUGGCUUUAUUUACCGUCACUGGGCCUGCAGGGACGAGGGAAACAAAACCAAAACAACAGCUGGGGAGAGACAAGCCUCGUGUAAUUGUGGCAUAGCUGUCAGGGGCCUAUGGGGAGCCGAAAGGCCGUCGAGAACAGGAAGUACUCUUUCUCUUCCUCUAAUCGCCAGAGUCCCUGCAAUGUGUGGUCACAUGCACUUCUUUUUUUAUGUACUUAAGUAAACAGCAUUGUUCCCAGAAGCAAGGUGUUUCUUUUUCUCUUGAAAUGUUUUUGGCAACGUGUUAUAGUAUAAAAACAUUUAGACUAAAAUAAAAACAAUCAAUUACUACUACUACUACUACUACUACUACUACUAAUACUACUACUACUACUAUGCUAUUACUACUACUAGUAAUAAUAAUAAUGAUAAUAAUGUUGCACUAACUAACAUUGUUCCGUGCAGUAGGUAACAUGAGGAACCCAUUGUCAGAUCCUUAAACUACGCAAAAAAAUUGUAUUUAGUGAUGUUAAUGGCAGCAUUUAGUUACUGUAAUUGAAGGAGGCCACAAAGUGAAGUGUUGUCAUUUUAGUUUUGUUAUGGUCGUCAAUGUUUAAUUGGCGCACUCUUUCAGCCAGCAAAUUAGCCAAGCUACAACAUUUACCAGACGCCACCCCUCUACAGUAUCAAUGGCGCCCUGUGCCAGCACGGAGUGGAGAAACAAAAAUGAAUCAGAGUGGCUGUCCUGAACCUUUGACCCGUCUCUCUGGAGGGAAACAGACCGCUAGGCCCAGUCACUCGUCAUCAUAAUGAGGGAGAGAAGAGCGUAGUCUGUCACACCACCCUGGCACCCUUUGGCCAGAAGACACACAACGGAAUGGGACAAAUGGGACACUGGCCAGAGGCAGUGGCACAGGCAGUGGUUUAUGGGCGGUAGCACUGAGAUCACACUUCUUGUGUCACACAAUCAUAACCUAUAGGCAGAGCCAGUUGGCAGUUUUUGCCUUGCUUCUCCUAGUGCAGGGCCUCCCAGGGGUUCCUCUGCCCCUGGUCCCUUAUUGCUCUGCAUGUUUUUCAUCUCUCCCUGCUCUGCUCUGCAUACAUGAUUGAACCUGUCAGUGGCACUCUUGAUUAGCUGAAUGCACAUAAUUUAGCUGAUUAAGAGAUCUUAUAAUUACUACUAUCAGGCAUCCUUAGAGUAGGGAGAGGUAUUAUGCAAAAUAUGCAAGGCGGGGGCUCCAAGAACAGGAAUGAAAUGCCUUUUCAGACAUACACUGCAGACAAUUCCGGAAAAUUCACAGCGUUGAUGACAUCUCUCACCUUCAUGCUGCCUUCACUCAAAUCUUGCUGAAACAGAUGAUACAUACAUGCAGUCAGUUUUAGCUUAAACUUAAACGAUACUUAAGCAACAGAUAGAACAACCAACUAACCACCUAGUGAUAACUAGCUAAACUGAACAGUAACACUUUCUCACAAAUUUAAAGGUAGUUCAAUGCAGUUUCAGAGAAACAUAGUUGUUCAUGUUCAUUAGCUCGCUAGCUAGCGAGCAAGUUGUUCAUAUUAGGCU
Clupea harengus (Atlantic herring) is the source of this 1907-nucleotide long non-coding RNA. Lineage: Eukaryota; Metazoa; Chordata; Actinopteri; Clupeiformes; Clupeidae. The record is from Ensembl.